This is a long non-coding RNA of Halichondria panicea, 956 nucleotides long. RefSeq lists it as uncharacterized. The record is from RefSeq and is a predicted model, not a curated record. The transcript has 2 exons. NCBI's taxonomy places the organism in Eukaryota, Metazoa, Porifera, Demospongiae, Suberitida, Halichondriidae.
CCUCGAUCCCAGGCCGAGUUUUCGCUUUUAUAACGGUUAGGCGAACAACUGGGCCUGGUACUAGUUGUCUGCGCAUGCGUCAAUCGUUCGUCAGAUUCUGACGAAUGGAUAUUCUCGUUCACUUUCGUGACAUUUAUAUUCGUGUACUAUCGUGUACUAGAAGUCAGUUCCCGUUUUAUCAUUAUUGGAAUCGAUUGGAAUGGCUCUUAGCUGAAGCUUCUCUCUUCUCUGAAGCUUAUGCUGAAGACUGAACAACAAGGGAAGAGGUAUAAAGCUUUGUCAAGCUUGUUAAGGUCAGAUAUUUUUGUGUGGGCCCUAUGGCCGGCUAUGCUAUCAAGUCUUGUUCAUGUUUGGCAAGAAUGUAGGUAGACUAUAGUUUCAUCAUUAAUAUGGUGGAUCAACUGAAGAGUGUGAGCUAGAGAACUUGGUGCUGCCAUCAUCAGCUCGUCGACAAUGACACUAUAACCGAGAAAUUUAAUAUGUAUAGAUCUACACGUAUUUAAAAUGUCUACUUCUCUGUACAGGAGCAAUGGCUAAUAUCCAGCUAUCCCAACAGUGCUCCUCUUGGCUAUACUAACGGACGAGACUGGACAGUUUGAGACACAGGACUGGAGUAUGACCUGCUCAUUCGAGCGUUGCUGGGUAGCUCAGAGACAUCAAGAGAAUCUACGUUUUCUCAAGCAAUGAGUUACGAGUUGGGGCCUAGAAUCAGAGAAGUCCAGCAGCCUGCUAAAUCUUUUUGAAACGUAAUUUGAAGGCAUUCAAUCAUCCUGGAGUUGCCCUGGGUCACUGUAAUUGUGCUGCAGCACAACUGGCAACUCCCCAGGCCUUUGUGAAGCAGCUUCCUAUGUGCAUCUUUUGUGUACUCACUCUGUGCAUUUUCUGUGUACAAAUUUCAAUUAUUGAUUUAUUAAAUAUUUUUGCCGACCACAAAUAUACAAUGAAAAUUUGACGCA